CAGCCGCCGCGGGAAAACGUAGGUGGCAAGCGUUGUCCGGAAUUAUUGGGCGUAAAGGGCUCGCAGGCGGUUUCUUAAGUCUGAUGUGAAAGCCCCCGGCUCAACCGGGGAGGGUCAUUGGAAACUGGGAAACUUGAGUGCAGAAGAGGAGAGUGGAAUUCCACGUGUAGCGGUGAAAUGCGUAGAGAUGUGGAGGAACAUCAGUGGCGAAGGCGACUCUCCGGUCUGUAACUGACGCUGAGGAGCGAAAGCGUGGGGAGCGAACAGGAUUAGAUACCCCAGUAGUCCCUGUCUCUUAUAC
Molecule: ribosomal RNA, 301 nt
Filed under: uncultured bacterium
Lineage: Bacteria
Description: partial 16S ribosomal RNA
Rfam family: Bacterial small subunit ribosomal RNA
Source: RNAcentral